This 460-nucleotide ribosomal RNA is filed under the name uncultured bacterium. Its description in RNAcentral is "partial 16S ribosomal RNA". It matches the Rfam family "Bacterial small subunit ribosomal RNA", at positions 338 to 795 of the family's 1533-position model. The record is from RNAcentral.
CCUACGGGUGGCAGCAGUGAGGAAUAUUGGUCAAUGGACGAGAGCCUGAACCAGCCAAGUAGCGUGAAGGAUGACUGCCCUAUGGGUUGUAAACGUCGUUUAUAUGGGAAUAAAAUGUUCCACGUGUGGGAUUGUGUACGUACCAUAUGAAGAAGGAUCGGCUGACUCCGUUCCAGCAGCCGCGGUAAUACGGAGGAUCCGAGCGUUAUCCGGAUUUAUUGGGUUUAAAGGGAGCGUAGGUGGGUUGUUAAGUCAGUUGUGAAAGUUUGGGGCUCAACCGUAAGAUUGCAGUUGAAACUGGCAGUCUUGAGUACGGUAGAGGUGGGCGGAAUUCGUGGUGUAGCGGUGAAAUGCUUAGAUAUCACGAAGAACUCCGAUUGCGAAGGCAGCUCACUGGACUGAAACUGACGCUGAGGCUCGAAAGUGUGGGUAUCAAACAGGAUUAGAUACCCGGGUAGUC